ACGUAAAAUCCAAACCACAGAAAGACCCGACCCCAUGAGCUCAGCCAUGAGCUAAUACUAUUAUGGUUAGGCGGCGCCAUGCCUAAAAUCCGCGUCGACUUGGACCGACCCACGUUUCCUACCCAUGAAAAUUGCACGGUAAGGCAAACAGUACGGAUUGCCUUCUAUUGUACAGGAGGAAUUGAAAAACCUCCUCUGCAACUGCAACUGCAUGGGUCCAUUUCUCGCUCGAACUACGCUUACCUGACGCUGAAUUCAUGAUGUGUUUUUUUGGGGUUAAGCUAAUUCUGCCUCUGAAUUAAUGUUUGCCAUUCUACUACUAAAUGAUUUCGCAAUCCCCUUCCGCGAGCUUGGAUUGCUCACAGUCACAGCAGCAGCAGUUGUUUAAUCCCAUCACCAAUCCUUCAAUCCCUUUCUCCAAACGAAACAGAAGAAAUUCCCCAAGAAAUUGGAGCUUCUUAUCCUGUGCCAUUCCCUCCGACCGUCCCAACCGCGAUUUAAACUGUCUUAAUGUAGAAUUAGCCAAUUCCGCCAGACGAGGCGCCAAUAUUUUCGUAGUCAAGCGGCUUUCCCAUGAAUUGGAAGGCGAAGAUUUGUCCCAAGAAUCGCCACUCCAAAUGGGCACCAGUUUUACCAAUUACCAGGAGGACCCAAUCGUAGAUAAGCUUAGAACCCAACUGGGAGUGAUUCAUCCAAUCCCAUCGCCUCCCAUUAGUCGAAACAUAGUCGGGUUGUUUGCCUUCUUUUUCUUUGUUGGUGUUGCUUUCGAUAAGGUAUGGGCUUCGAGGAAGAAAAACAAGGUGGAUGGUGCGGAUGGUAAGCGCGGCGGCGCUGGAGCCUGGCCACAAGUUCCAACGAGCUUUUCCUUGUUUUUGGAGAAGGAUUUGCAGAGGAAAGAGUCGGUUGAGUGGGUGAACAUGGUGUUGGGGAAGUUGUGGAAAGUUUAUAGAGGUGGUAUCGAGAACUGGAUCAUUGGGUUGCUACAGCCGGUUAUUGAUAACUUGAAGAAGCCUGAUUAUGUGGACAGAGUUGAGAUUAGGCAGUUCUCCUUGGGAGAUGAACCGUUAUCGGUGAGAAACGUUGAGCGCCGGACUUCGCGUCGCGUUAAUGAUUUGCAGUACCAAAUAGGCCUUCGAUAUACUGGUGGUGCUCGUAUGCUGUUAAUGCUCUCACUAAAAUUUGGUAUUAUUCCCAUUGCUGUGCCAGUUGGCGUUCGGGAUUUUGACAUUGAUGGGGAACUUUGGGUCAAGUUACGAUUGAUACCUACGGAGCCUUGGGUGGGAGCUGCUUCAUGGGCUUUUGUUUCACUUCCAAAGAUCAAAUUUGAGCUGUCUCCAUUCCGCUUAUUCAAUUUAAUGGCAAUACCUGUUCUCUCAAUGUUUUUGACAAAACUUCUCACCGAGGAUUUGCCUCGACUAUUUGUCCGCCCAAAGAAGAUUGUUUUAGAUUUGCAAAAAGGAAAAGCAGUUGGUCCUGUUGCUAAUGUCUUUAAGUCUGGAGAAAUGCAAGAAGGAAACAAGGAUUUUACUGGAGAGCUAUCGGUGACUCUUGUAGAUGCUCGGAAUCUUUCUUACGUUUUUUACGGCAAAACAGAUCCAUAUGUUAUUCUAAGCUUGGGAGAUCAAAUUAUACGCAGUAAAAAGAAUAGUCAAACCACAGUCAUUGGCCCACCUGGUGAGCCAAUAUGGAAUCAGGAUUUUCAUAUGCUCGUUGUGAACCCUAAGAAACAGAAAUUGUGCAUCCAAGUAAAGGAUUCUCUAGGAUUCAAGGAUUUGACCAUAGGAGCAGGGGAGGUUGAUCUGGGUUCUCUUCAAGAUACUGUACCAACAGACAGGAUUGUUGUCUUGCGAGGAGGUUGGGGACUAUUUAGCAAGAGGUCUUCUGGAGAGAUACUACUUCGACUGACAUAUAAGGCUUAUGUAGAGGAUGAAGAAGAUGACAAGACUGAGAAGACUGAGGCAGAUUCUGUUGAUGUGGAUGCGUCAGAUGAUGAAUUGUCAGAUUCUGAUCAGUCAAAUGUUACUUACGAGAAGGGUGAAAGAGAUUCUUCAAAUGAAACGGAUAAAGAAUCAUUUAUGGAUGUUCUAGCCGCAUUGAUUGUGAGUGAAGAAUUUCAAGGAAUAGUGGCAUCUGAAACAGGAAAUACCAAACUUUUUGAUGAUGUCUCAACGGUAGGGUCAACAAUACCACGACCACGUGGUCUUAAAGCUGAAUCCAUCCCCUCGAAUUCCACUGGUGACUCUGAAGGUUCUAGAGGAGGAUCUGCCUUAUUUUGGCUUGCAGUGAUCACAUGUAUAUCAGUGUUAAUUGCUACCAAUAUUGGUGGUUCAAGUUUUUUCAAUCCUUGAUAUGCAACAGAGCUAGCAAAGAAGCGGGUUUAAGUACUUUAUAGAUUAUAGCUUUGGAGGGUAAGGCAAUGUUGCCUGCAACAAGGUUGGAAGAAGAUAUGGAGGUUCAUUGAUUAAGGCGCACAGUACCAUUCUACUGUGUAUUGAUGUAGUCUUGCUUGAAGUCAGUGAAGAGAAUUCUGUGCAAGUACUAUUGGAGAAACUCUAAUGUCCAUAUCUCUUGCUAUAAGGCUGUAUUUGAAACAAUAUGGUUAUACCAUUCUUAAGAAGGAAGGCAUAUCCGUUCAAGAUUUGGAUUCACUACAAUUAUUUGUGGACAUAAGAAGGAAGGCAUAACCAAUGAAAUUCGUUCAAGAUUCAGUACAAUUAUUCUUGAUAUAAUAUUGUUCUUGAUAAAUCCUCCUAAGAGCAUUUGUUCACUACAUUGCUCUAUGGAUGAUGUCAGGUCUGCUGCUCUAACCUCUCGAGAGUUGAGAAAAAUGUGUCUAGGAUUGAUACAAAUGAUCUGAAUGAUGCUCUGGUUGAUCAAGGUAGAAAAAGGAGAAAGUUUCUAUUGGCAAUGGAAAAUCUAGAUUGAGCAAUAAAAUUGAAUGCCAUUAUUCUCACAAACUAGGGCAUGUCAAAAAAGAUUGUCUAAGUCUAAAAAUAAAGAGAAACAUUAUUCUUACAAACUAGGGCAUGUCAAAAAAGAUUGUCUAAGUCUAAAAAUAAAGAGAACAAAAUAACAAAUAUUUUGCAAUUGCCAGUGUCAUAUAGGAGCAUCUGAGUGAUGCUGGAGACAUCUUGUCAACGGUCACUGAGAAUUUUCAGUCUGGGAAGGAUUAGGUUCUUGAUUUGGAAGGCUUACAUCACAGGUAUUAUAACAAACACUAGCUUGUCACAUACCGACUAGUGAGCAAUGAUCGUGUGUAAUGGGAAGUAGCAACCUUACAACUACAAGACAGUUAACAUCGGUUUUGUUCGAGUCAAGAUGCGCGUGCCAGUGCCGUUAGUACGUUGACUGAUGUUCUGUGUGUUUCAUAUUUGUUUGUACCCUUUUAACCCUGUGGGCUGGGUUUUCUGCUGAAGGUGUCUUGAAGAUUCCUAUUGUUGUAAUGGUUGUGAUGAAGAGUAAGAAGAUUGGGAACCUUUGUUUGCUACAUGACAAGAAAGCAACAGUUACAACAGCUGCUUUUAUGUUUUCUACAGAUUGCUUUGGCAUAUGAGUGGAAGAGGGAUAUACUGGAAUUAAGCAAGAGGGGCCUAUUAUGUUGUAAACAAAAUUCAGGAAGGUGAAUAUUGUGUGAAUGAGAACCAAUGUUGACUCCAGCUCAGUGUUGCUUUCACAGGAUCAAAGAGACAAUGAAUUACAUUCAUUUGGACUAAUGUGGUCCUUUUCAUGUUGCUUCAAGUGUUGUGUUCAUAAUUUGUUGACCUUUGAGUAUUUUUUAGGACGAUUUAGAUUUAUUUUUUGAAGCAUAAAAUUAUUCUUUUGGACACCUUGAAGCAAUGAAAUUCGUUGGUUGAGAGGCAAGCUGAAAACAAGAUCAAAGGCCUUGGUGUUCUAAUGGUCUGGAGUUUUGUGAAGUUGAAUUUAGCAAGUUCUGCAAGAAUGAGGGGAUUGCGAGAUACUGAACAGUUAGAGGAUGCCACUAUAGAAUGGGGUUCCGAAACACAUGAACGUGGCUCUCUUGGAGGGAGCAUUGUAUUUGCUGUCUAAUGCUGGACUAUAUAGGGAGUUUUGGUCAUGAGUAAUCAAUAUGCCUGUUGUUAGCGAAUAGGUUUCCAUCAGUGGCGAUUAAAUGUACUCUUGAUGAAGUUUUCAGGCUGUGCAUAAACAAACCCUUCACACUCGCAAUGGACUCAGCUAAUGAUUCAUUUUCCAUUGGCUUAUAUUACAUUGUAAAUUCGUAGGUACUGGCAGAGCAAUAUUCUGUUGGCGGCAUGAAGGUUUUUGGCCUCUUUUUCUUGAUCUAUAACAAGUGUAAAUGACCUUGUACCUCUCUAUUCAUUGUUCAUAUGAAAGGUUAUAACAAUAGGGAAUGGUACUCAUUUUUAGAUUUCAAGUUCUGGAAUUGGAGGGAUUUUAUGCUGACCCAAAAAGUGGGGGAAAAUUAGUAAUUAGUUCUAGCAUUAGAAGGUAGUACCAUGGGAGGUUGGCCCCAUCAUAUGAUUUCCAGAAAAGAAAUGUUCUAUAUUAUAUGAAGUCAGGCUUGAUAUCAUGUAUAAAACAUUUAUUCAGGGGUCAUUGUUGCUCCUAUAGAUCAUUGUGAUUGGAAUUUCUAAAAUCAUAUAGACGAUAUCUUGUAUAAAAGUGUGUUUUUUUUUCAAA
This is an RNA transcript of Carya illinoinensis, 4659 nucleotides long. It is a transcript of the gene named tricalbin-3-like, with no coding region annotated. Lineage: Eukaryota; Viridiplantae; Streptophyta; Magnoliopsida; Fagales; Juglandaceae. The record is from RefSeq and is a predicted model, not a curated record. The transcript is spliced from 10 exons.